Long non-coding RNA from Apis mellifera (honey bee), 445 nucleotides. RefSeq lists it as uncharacterized. The transcript has 3 exons. Lineage: Eukaryota; Metazoa; Arthropoda; Insecta; Hymenoptera; Apidae. The record is from RefSeq and is a predicted model, not a curated record.
CCACGGAAGUAUCUUCCUCGAGAAGACAGUCGCCCUCUUCGUUCAGCUGAUCCGUUUUUACCGGAUUUGGUUAUUUGGACGCGAUAAAAAUGGAGAUCGUUGUUACGGAUGGAGAAUUACGGAUCGAUUUGAAAUUGAGUAGAAGAAGAGGAUGAAACGACUAUUCGGACACGGUGAGACACACGUGGGGCGCGGAAGCAAGCCGUUAGAAGACUGGCCGAACUUGAGAGGCAUCCCUUGGCCUCGAUGCUAAACACACAUAACUUAUAUGAUCUUCUAAGUAUCUUUCUCUUGUCAUGACAAUGAAAUUUACAGAUAUCAAUCGGUAAUUUCGUACAGCUCAAUUAUUAUAAACAAGAUAGAAAAUAAAAUGGUGCAACAAGCAAUGGUGAAACAGUAAAAUACCAAUCGAUCGAUUACCUGGAGAAACAGCAUGAAGCAGACC